Molecule: ribosomal RNA, 448 nt
Filed under: uncultured bacterium
Lineage: Bacteria
Description: bacterial SSU rRNA
Rfam family: Bacterial small subunit ribosomal RNA
Source: RNAcentral
UCCAGACUCCUACGGGAGGCAGCAGUGGGGGAUAUUGCACAAUGGGGGGAACCCUGAUGCAGCGACGCCGCGUGGGUGAAGGAGCGUUUCGGCGCGUAAAGCCCUAUCGGCAGGGAAGAGGGAGGACGGUACCUGACUAAGAAGCCCCGGCUAACUACGUGCCAGCAGCCGCGGUAAUACGUAGGGGGCAAGCGUUAUCCGGAUUUACUGGGUGUAAAGGGGGCGCAGACGGCAGCGCAAGCCAGGAGUGAAAGCCCGGGGCCCAACCCCGGGACUGCUCUUGGAACUGCGCGGCUGGAGUGCAGGAGGGGCAGGCGGAAUUCCUGGUGUAGCGGUGAAAUGCGUAGAUAUCAGGAGGAACACCGGUGGCGAAGGCGGCCUGCUGGACUGCGACUGACGUUGAGGCCCGAAAGCGUGGGGAGCAAACAGGAUUAGAUACCCCAGUAGA